Molecule: non-coding RNA, 84 nt
Organism: Gossypium hirsutum (cotton)
Lineage: Eukaryota; Viridiplantae; Streptophyta; Magnoliopsida; Malvales; Malvaceae
Source: Rfam
AGCAAGAUGAGGAGAUCCGUUUGACAGCUGAAUUUAAUGUGGAAUUUCUACAGUUCUAAUGGUCUUCAAAGUUCUCUGAUUGCU